Molecule: non-coding RNA, 75 nt
Organism: Ailuropoda melanoleuca (giant panda)
Lineage: Eukaryota; Metazoa; Chordata; Mammalia; Carnivora; Ursidae
Source: Rfam
UCAGUGCCCUACUCAGGAAGGCAUCAUUCACAUAGAUGGAUUUGUGAAUGGCACCUUUCUGAGUAGAGUAAUGUG